UACAGAGGUCCCAAGCGUUGUUCGGAUUCACUGGGCGUAAAGGGUGCGCAGGUGGCAUGGUAAGUUUGGUGUGAAAGCUUCGGGCUUAACCCGGAAAUGGCAUUGAAAACUACUGUGCUGGAGGAUCGGAGGGGGGACUGGAAUUCUUGGUGUAGCAGCGAAAUGCGUAGAUAUCAAGAGGAACACCAGUGGCGAAGGCGAGUCCCUGGACGAUACCUGACACUGAGGCACGAAAGCCAAGGGAGCAAACAGG
This 253-nucleotide ribosomal RNA is filed under the name uncultured bacterium. RNAcentral's name for it is "partial 16S ribosomal RNA". It matches the Rfam family "Bacterial small subunit ribosomal RNA", at positions 524 to 776 of the family's 1533-position model. The record is from RNAcentral.